AGUCGAGCGGUAAGGCCCUUUCGGGGGUACACCAGCGGCGAAGGGGUGAGUAACACGUGGGUGACCUGCCCUCAGCUCUGGGAUAAGCCUGGGAAACUGGGUCUAAUACUGGAUAUGACCUCAUGACGCAUGUUGUGGGGUGGAAAGCCUUGUGCGGCUGGGGAUGGGCCCGCGGCCUAUCAUCUUGUUGGGGGGGUGAUGGCCUACCAAGGCGACGACGGGUAGCCGGCCUGAGAGGGCGACCGGCCACACUGGGACUGAGACCCGGCCCAUACUCCUACGGGAGGCAGCAGUGGGGAAUCUUGCGCAAUGGGCAAAAGCCUGACGCACCGACGCCGCGAGAGGGAUGACGGCCUUCGGGUUGUACCCCUCUUUCACCUCCAACGAAGCGUAAGUGACGGUAGGGGAAAAAGAAGCACCGGCCAACUACGUGCCACCACCCCCGGUAAUACGUAGGGUGCGUGCGUUGACCGGAUUUGUUGGGCGAAAAUAGCUCGUAGGCGGUCUGUCUCGUCGGCUGUAAAACUCGGCGCUCAACUUCCGAGCUUGCAAUCAAACCCGGGGCAGGGCUAGAAUUCGGGCAGGGGAGACUGGAAAUUCCUGGUUGUAAGCGGUUGAAAAUGCGCAGAUUAUCAGGAGGAACACCCGGUGGCCGAAAGGCGGGGUCUCUGGGGCCCGAUACUGACGCCUGAGGAGCGAAAAGCGUGGGGAGCGAACAGGAUUAGAUACCCUGGUAGUCCACGCCGUAAACGUUGGGCGCUAGGUGUGGGAUCCCUUCCACGGGUUCCGUGCCGCAGCUAACGCAUUAAGCGCCCCGCCUGGGGAGUACGGCCGCAAGGCUAAAACUCAAAGGAAUUGACGGGGGCCCGCACAAGCGGCGGAGCAUGUGGAUUAAUUCGAUGCAACGCGAAGAACCUUACCUGGGUUUGACAUACACCGGAAAGCCGUGGAGACAUGGCCUCCGCAAGGCCGGUGUACAGGUGGUGCAUGGCUGUCGUCAGCUCGUGUCGUGAGAUGUUGGGUUAAGUCCCGCAACGAGCGCAACCCUCGUCCCAUGUUGCCAGCGGGUUAUGCCGGGGACUCAUGGGAGACUGCCGGGGUCAACUCGGAGGAAGGUGGGGACGACGUCAAGUCAUCAUGCCCCUUAUGUCCAGGGCUUCACACAUGCUACAAUGGCCGGUACAAAGGGCUGCUAAGCCGUAAGGUGGAGCGAAUCCCACAAAGCCGGUCUCAGUUCGGAUCGGGGUCUGCAACUCGACCCCGUGAAGUCGGAGUCGCUAGUAAUCGCAGAUCAGCAACGCUGCGGUGAAUACGUUCCCGGGCCUUGCACAC
This 1332-nucleotide ribosomal RNA is filed under the name uncultured bacterium. RNAcentral describes it as "bacterial SSU rRNA". It matches the Rfam family "Bacterial small subunit ribosomal RNA", at positions 60 to 1388 of the family's 1533-position model. The record is from RNAcentral.